Molecule: ribosomal RNA, 421 nt
Filed under: Fusobacteriota bacterium
Lineage: Bacteria; Fusobacteriati; Fusobacteriota
Description: Fusobacteria bacterium partial 16S ribosomal RNA
Rfam family: Bacterial small subunit ribosomal RNA
Source: RNAcentral
UGGGGAAUAUUGCACAAUGGACGGAAGUUUGAUGCAGCGACGCCGCGUGGAGGGUGUAGGCCUUCGGGUUGUGAACUCCUUUUUCUCGCGAAAAAGGCACAGUUUUGGCUGUGUUGAUGGUAGUGGGGGAAGAAGCGCCGGCUAACUACGUGCCAGCAGCCGCGGUAAUACGUAGGGCGCGAGCGUUGUCCGGAUUUAUUGGGCGUAAAGAGCUCGUAGGUGGUUCGUCGCGUCUGUCGUGAAAGCCAGCAGCUUAACUGUUGGUCUGCGGUGGGUACGGGCGGGCUUGAGUGCGGUAGGGGUGACUGGAAGUCCUGGUGUAGCGGUGGAAUGCGCAGAUAUCAGGAGGAACACCGAUGGCGAAGGCAGGUCACUGGGCCGUUACUGACACUGAGGAGCGAAAGCGUGGGGAGCGAACAGG